AACGAACGCUGGCGGCAUGCCUAACACAUGCAAGUCGAACGAGACCUUAGGGUCUAGUGGCGCACGGGUGCGUAACGCGUGGGAAUCUGCCCUGGGGUGCGGAAUAACUCGGAGAAAUCCGUGCUAAUACCGCAUAAUGUCUUCGGACCAAAGAUUUAUCGCCCUGGGAUGAGCCCGCGUAGGAUUAGCUAGUUGGUGGGUAAAGGCCUACCAAGGCGACGAUCCUUAGCUGGUCUGAGAGGAUGAUCAGCCACACUGGGACUGAGACACGGCCCAGACUCCUACGGGAGGCAGCAGUGGGGAAUAUUGGACAAUGGGCGAAAGCCUGAUCCAGCAAUGCCGCGUGAGUGAUGAAGGCCCUAGGGUUGUAAAGCUCUUUUACCCGGGAUGAUAAUGACAGUACCGGGAGAAUAAGCUCCGGCUAACUCCGUGCCAGCAGCCGCGGUAAU
This 449-nucleotide ribosomal RNA is filed under the name uncultured bacterium. Its description in RNAcentral is "bacterial SSU rRNA". It matches the Rfam family "Bacterial small subunit ribosomal RNA", at positions 29 to 524 of the family's 1533-position model. The record is from RNAcentral.